CUCCCAAAUUCAGACAAGUGUACCUACAAAUCCUAAACACUUUUAAGGCUUGAAACAGUUUGCUUUCCUUCCUGGCUAAAAUCCCUAUCUGUUACGAAUUGCCCUUUCGUAUUCAAAAGAACUGUUAAACCUCUUUAGUAUUCAUCAAAAAACGUUACACAUAUUUUAAUGGCAUAUGCAUCGGUAUUUAAAUCAUCCUCAAUCCUCCACACAUAUAUAUUCAGCUUCAAGAAAACUGACUCUCGGUAGGCCAAUAAAACAUCAAACAAUCAACUGGAAAAAUUGGAGGGUCAAAGCAAGUGGGUGUUGUUGUAGCAACUGAGAUUGAAAACCAAUAUUCAAGUCAGAUUUUUCAAUUUUAAACCUUUAACAUUACUAUUAUGCUUAUGUAACUGAGUUCAUACACCCUACACCUUUCUGCACAUAAGGUGUUUGAUUAAAUGACAUUUAGAGGAAACCUUUUUAAAACUCAUUCAAUUCCAACAUUUUAAGCAACAAAGUUUUCCUGACUAUGAGACGAAGCAGAAAAUAAUGAUCAGUGUAGUAUUUGGUUCUUCAGAAUUGUUACAUUUUGAUGAUUCUUUGUUGGCUAAUAGUUUUGCAAUUCGUUCAACUUUUAGGUGUGUUUUUCAGAAGCCAGUCUUGGUAAAAUAUGCAUGUCUUUGUUUGAUUGUAUUUUUUAUUUCAGAAAAUAGCUAAUCAUGCAUCAAUAGUAUUUUCUUGCUUUCUUUUCUUCUAAUAUUGGCCAUGAGAAUGUCAUAUAUAUAUAUAUAUAUAUAUGUGCAGAUGAAGAUAGAAAGGAGUUAACAGGUUAUAUUAGUUAGCCAUUCAGGUUUUUCUGAUAUGUAAAGUUAACUCUAUAAUCUGUUAAAAUCGAGUCUCAUUAAAUUGGAACUUUACAGGUGUACAUGGAGUCAUUUCUUGAAGAUUGGCUCACCAACUCAGUUUGCUUAAAGAAGUUAUCGGAAGCAGCAUGAUGAGCACUAAUUAUAGCUUGGGGGGCUCUAUUCGUUGCCUAAACAAGAGGUAAAUUACUUUUUUAGUUAGUGAUUGAUUUUAGUUUCAAUUGAAAAGGUUAAAACUUACAUACUUCGUAUGACCAGAAAGAGCAGAGCCACCUAUCCGGUGAGAGAGUCUGAAAAGAAAUAAAGCAAAUCUCGGUGUCUAAUGUCACUGCUUACCAGAAUCGGAAUUGCAGAUGUUAUGAAUUCUAUCAGAUGUUGUAGAUUGUAAAUGCAUUUGAUGUUAUUUUAAGAUUCUCUAUAUUAAAAAUGAAGUUUUGUAACACGCAUCUGAAACGGUAAACAUUGAUCGAAUGAAAUGGCCGUGCUAUUUAAUUA
Long non-coding RNA from Mercurialis annua (annual mercury), 1340 nucleotides. RefSeq lists it as uncharacterized. The transcript is spliced from 2 exons. NCBI's taxonomy places the organism in Eukaryota, Viridiplantae, Streptophyta, Magnoliopsida, Malpighiales, Euphorbiaceae. The record is from RefSeq and is a predicted model, not a curated record.